GAUGAAGAACGCAGCGAAAUGCGAUAAGUAAUGUGAAUUGCAGAAUUCAGUGAAUCAUCGAAUCUUUGAACGCAUCUUGCGCUCCUUGGUAUUCUGAGGAGCAUGCCUGUUUGAGUGUCAUUAAAUUCUCAACCGCACUGACUUUGAAUUGGUGUGGCUUGGAUUUGGGGGGAAAAUUGUUGUGGGCUUUUUUGUAUAGUCUGCUCCCCUGAAAUUGAUUAGCGGUACCUUUGUGGAACUGUCUACAGGUGUGAUAAUUAUCUACAUCCUAGACAUCUGCUGGAAUGCUGCUUUCCAAACCUUACUUGUAUUGACAAUCUUGACCUCAAAUCAGGUAGGACUACCCGCUGAACUUAAGCAUAUCAAUAAGCGGAGGA
Molecule: unclassified non-coding RNA, 377 nt
Filed under: soil metagenome
Description: partial contains 5.8S ribosomal RNA, internal transcribed spacer 2, and large subunit ribosomal RNA
Rfam family: 5.8S ribosomal RNA (bases 1-120)
Source: RNAcentral